Molecule: long non-coding RNA, 229 nt
Filed under: Nicotiana benthamiana
Lineage: Eukaryota; Viridiplantae; Streptophyta; Magnoliopsida; Solanales; Solanaceae
Description: long non-coding RNA (NBEN_LNC014775)
Source: RNAcentral
AAAAAUUAGAGACACACAAAUUUGAUGUAAUUUAAUAAAAAUUUUAAACAGUCAAAGAGAACUUAUCAGGUAAUGGAGAUGGAGCUUCAGCGUGUUGGUGACAGUGGAGACGGAGUUUCGAUAGAGCUUCUACGGCACCAGGGGUGCCACUGGUUGGUUGCAGCGGCGGGAUUGGAUGGGGAGGUUUGACUGAGAGAAGAGAAAAGGAAGAAAGUGGGGAAAGGAAAAG